This 91-nucleotide transfer RNA is filed under the name Dreissena polymorpha. It matches the Rfam family "tRNA". From Rfam's summary of the family: Transfer RNA (tRNA) molecules are approximately 80 nucleotides in length. Their secondary structure includes four short double-helical elements and three loops (D, anti-codon, and T loops). Lineage: Eukaryota; Metazoa; Mollusca; Bivalvia; Myida; Dreissenidae. The record is from Rfam by way of RNAcentral.
CCCGCGAUAGCUCAGUUGGUAGAGCGGAGGACUGUAGUGGUAAAAAUAUACUGUUAUCCUUAGGUCACUGGUUCAAAUCCGGUUCGCGGGA